Chelonia mydas (Green sea turtle) is the source of this 4307-nucleotide long non-coding RNA. RefSeq lists it as uncharacterized. NCBI's taxonomy places the organism in Eukaryota, Metazoa, Chordata, Testudines, Cheloniidae. The transcript has 2 exons. The record is from RefSeq and is a predicted model, not a curated record.
UAUGUUGGUGAAUUAUACAGCCCUUUUUGGUGAGCUUGCUCUUUUCUCUGUGUUUGACCCUUAUCUUGCAAAUGUUAAUGUAUUUGCUGAGUUUGGUACAGAUUUAUCAGACUUAACUGGAGGAUGGGUAUCACAAAUGUAUACUUAAACAGUUACAUGUGUUUUAACUGGUUCAUUGCAGAUCCUGCACUCCAGCCUGUCACUUUCCAGUGAGCUUCACUGUAAUCACAGUGAAUCACAAUGAAAUUCUUUUGUGUGUGGGUAGGGCACUCGCAUGGCAAACCCAAAUUCAAGUCCUUGCUCUACUUGAUUCAGAGCAGAGUUUUUCAUCCCAGACCACUAUAAAUCAAGCAGAGGAGGAACUUGAAUAUUCCACAUCUCAGGCCCUAAUCACCAAGCUAUAGUCAGUCUCUCUCUUUCUUUGACCCAAAGCUUUCCUGAUGAAAGUUUGAUGGCGACUGAUACAUCCCUGCAAAAUGUUUCCGCUUCGACGAAUCAGCAUUUUUUACCAAACUGUAAUUUCAGUGACAAUGUUCUUACUAGCUCUACUCAUGUCACAAUAUGCCCAUCUCAUUCGGAUUAUCAUGGGAUUUCACUUUACUCUUAUGGAUUUGAUGGGUUCAGGCCUGGCCCAAUGCCUCUGUGCUCGAGCUAUUCCUAGCUGCUGGAACUACGCUUAUCAGAAUAGCUCUACUCUAACUUACACCAACCGCAGACACAUAGCGGCACUGUAUAGCUACCAAGGUGACACAGAGCCACCUUUGCAACCCCUUAGUUUGUGUGCUGAGUGCAGCCUGCCCUGACUGAAGUGGUAGAGCUUUUGUUUCAAACUGCCUAUUUGCAGGGUCAGACAGUUGUGCAGCACGUCACAUUUGCAAGGUUUUCUUUGCACACAUAUACCUAGAAAGUUAAUAAAAAACCCAAACCCAUAGAUUUUACAGCCAGAAGAGACCAUUAUGAUCAUCUAGAUUGACCUCCUGUAUAAAAUUACUACUUUUCACAGGACACAGCAUUUCACCCCAGGAUUUCUGCAUCAAGCCCAUAACUUCUGGAUUAGCUGUGACAAAGAGUUUAAAUUCUGCAUACUUUGACAAAGUUUAAAUUUUGUAGAAACUGCUGGAGCCACUAGAAAAGUACCAGGACACUGUGCCACCACCUGCUGUAACUAAUUCAAGUGCUGCAGACAGAAAGAAUUGUUAGACACCGUAACUCACCCACUCCCGGGGAGGAGGGACCAGAAACCCUGGCCCCUGUUUCUCCUUUAGCAGAUAUUCCAGGUUAGAACUUUUUUCAAAAUUUAGAGGUGCUGAUUUAGACCCAGGUCUCACAAAAUAUCAUAUAUAGCAUCAUGAUCAUACUGAAAUAGCUUACCGUGAAUCCAAGUGUUGUCUCUAUUAUUUGUUUUCGUUAGAACAAGCUUUGGCUAUACAUGUAGAACAGAAUGCAAAACACUUGAACUUAAGUUCCAUUUGGCUUUGGCUUAGGCUUAAAACACAUGAUUUGGAGUGCUAUGCAUUUUUAGUUUAUAUCUCAGUAGUUGGAGAAGCAGGGCAAGAAUGACUUUCUCUGUGAGAAACCUUAUUGUUGAAUAACACAGGCUUCUGUUGGUGAGAGACACCACUGAGGGGUUUGUUUAAAUUUCCUUUGGGGGAAAAAUGCAAUUAUUUAAAUGAAGGGGGGGAUGUUUCACAAAACAAAAAUAGAGCUCUUGAAACCCCAAACUGCUAUAACUUUCCACUCUAGGCAAUUAAAAAAACAUGAUACAAGACAGCACUCAUUUGUCUUUUAAUUUUCUUUAAUUUCAUUAUGCCUCAUUUUGAAGAACCUCUGAUACAAUACGAUUUGUAAUAUAGUUUUGAUAUUUUUAAAUUAUAUUUGCUUAGCUUUAUACACACACAUACACACUCUCUGAAUUAUAGUUAUGCUGUAAAGAUGCUUUUGCUGAAAGCCUUUGAAGGUCAUUUUUCACCAUAUAUGGAUUGAAAUAAUAUCAACAAAAAUAACUCUAGGAGUUUUAGGAACCCACUGGGUUACCCCAUCCUUAAGUUUUAGGAACCCUCUGGAUUGUCUCAUGCUUGGUAGUCUGAAAAUUCAUAAACUUCCCACCUGCAAUAGUUGACAAAAUGUAUUAGAACUUGUUUUUAAUUGCUGUUGACUUUUCCAGACUCACGGCUGUUAAAAUGAGGCUCAGACACUAAAACUGCUGAAGCCCAAUGUGAGAGACUGUAAUAAGUUCCCAGGCUGGUUCACAAUCCUGUUAACAGGCCAAGAACAAGUCCUUUAAAGUGAAUAUGAGAACACUGAAAACUGUUCCCAUUCUGAAUUGAACUGAGAUAGGCUCAAGCCAUGACAUUGGGAAUUGACUCCCAAACUUCAUAAAUGUCGGGGGAGGAGAUGGUUUGAUCCAGAGCUUUGGUUCAGCCCAUCAUGAUACUAAAGGCCACGUGCAAAGUGUAGAACAGAACCUCCACAGAAGGCAAGAGUGUUCACAUUCCUGGUUUUGCUUCAGGUUUAUCACUAGCAUUAAACCUGUCCCUUUUGUCAGUACAAUGGAGAAGUACUUUGGAUUGUGUACUGUUGGAGAGAGGCAUUCAUUAUAUUAUAUCUCACUUCAACAGCAUCUUUGGGAAUCAAGUCUUUUGGCUGUUGAUGAUGAUGAAGUAAAGGAAAUUACAGGGCAUUUAAUGUAACCAGGAGUCAAGCCCAGAGGGAUGGUCUCCACAUUGGAACAAGAUUUUUGCCUACCCAGCAGCAGGCUCACAAAAGCCCACACCUAUUUGGGACAAGGUUAAGUCAGUUCACAGUCUGCCAGUUGCAUUGACUGUAAUGUCUCCCCUGCUUAGGGAAUGUCAAUACUGCUUUCCUGAACUCCACCUGUUAUAUCUAGAGGAAAGGGAGUUAGCAUUGUCUUCCACCACUCGCUGCAAGAAACAUGAUAUCACACUUGAACAAAAACGGGAAAGCUGACAGAUCUAUUGAGAUGGGUGUGACUACAAUACACACCUAAUUGGUCAAGUCCUGUGGAAAGGGCUGUGACUGGCAGCUCUUCAAUGCCGAACACAAACGAGCACACUGUCCAUGUUUAUUGCUAAUCUGUGAAGCUUGCUUUUGUUUCUCACAUGUUCACAUGUCUUCAUGGAUUUUACUUGCUUCCUGUAGCAAUCAGGUAUACACUAUGAGUUGGCUUUAAGAAAGCGAGACCCAGGGGAGAUUUGACUCUGAGAAAGGGGUGUAGUGUUGUCCCAUUCAGUUCAAGUUAAUGAAGCUCUCUUUUUUAUCUUCUGUAUAUAACACUCAGUGCAUAGCCUAUCUGCCUCUAAAGUGAAAAGUCAGUACUGAUCUGAGAGUUAAAUAGGAUGUAUUGCUAUACAUCUACAACAAGCAAGCAACCCACACCACAGAAGAGGAAUACAAAGUAUACAACUUAAUGCAGCAAUAAUUAUACAACAAUAUACACACACUCACCACAUUUUAUGUAAACUUUUUGGCCUGCAGGUAACCACAGACCUUUCCAGAUACUAAAAAACCCCUCAAAACUCCAAACCCUUUCAUUGACCAUUCAUUGUACUUCUGAACAUUUUUGUGAACUUUUAAGAUCAAGAGAUUGUAGAACAAAUUAUACUGCAGUGAAAAAUUCUGUUUUCUUUUGUUACUACCUUCUGUCUCUUACUGUAGCAGUCUGCAGCUAUAUAGCACAUUCCAUUUUAUCUCGAGAUGGCCUGGAGCCAGAAAAAUUAGAUCUGAAGCUACACUUUCAGGGAUGAAUAGAAAAGAUGGUUUGAGACCCAUCUCUAGGUUUAUCCAGUUUAUGGCUUUGUAUCUUACACGGAGGAGAUUACCUAGAAACAGGUCAGAUGGAGACACUAGUGGUGUGAGCAUAUACUUCAAUGCUGAGAGAGAACCACAUGCAAAGAAGAUAAUACUCAGAACAAUGAGUAUUUGAGAAAAGCAUCUCUGAUCCUUAAGGCUCUUAAUGCUAUGAAAUAAACUUUGCAUUAAUAAAAUCAUAAAUAUACAUUUACCAGGUAUGGGAAAUCCAUACCUUACAAUUAGUACUAUUUAGACAAGCAAAUGAUGUCUGGUAAUAAUAUUGUUGAGUCAGACUUGUUUUUAAACAGUGUUUGUAAUGAACCAAUCCACUGUAUUUAAUGCAUAUUAUUCAAGCUUCAAUGUUCACUAAUUAGUUUCUAGACUCAGCAGCUGGAAGAGACUAGCUAAAAAUAAAUACUAGAUAGAACACAUAUCAGAUUUUUACCAGUUAGCUUGUGUUUCACCUCUAUAUUUGUGAAGUAGACAGUCAGAGUCAA